RNAcentral lists this long non-coding RNA (574 nucleotides) under Olea europaea (common olive). Its description in RNAcentral is "long non-coding RNA (OEUR_LNC006604)". The record is from RNAcentral. Lineage: Eukaryota; Viridiplantae; Streptophyta; Magnoliopsida; Lamiales; Oleaceae.
UUCCUUCAGUUCCUACUUCCCCGACGCCAAUUCCUCAACCACCUUCAGUGUCUCCUCCUCCUCCAACUCCUGAACAACCGUCUCCAAUUCCUCAACCACCUCCAACUCCUGGACCACCAUCUCCAAUUUCAGUUUCUCCUUCGCCGUCUCCAAUUCCUCAACCACCUCCAACUCCUGCACAACCAUCUCCAAUUUCAGUUUCUCCUUCUCCGUCUCCAAUUAUUCAACCACCUCCAACUCCUGAACAACCAUCUCCAGCGCCUCAACCAUCUCCUGACCAGCCACCAUCAUCUCCUCCUCCGACUCCUGGACCACCAUCUCCAAUUUCAGUUUCUCCUUCCCCGUCUCCAAUUCCUCAACCAUCUCCAAUUUCAGUUUCUCCUUCGCCGUCUCCAAUUCCUCAACCACCUCCAACUCCCGAACAACCAUCUCCAAUUUCAGUUUCUCCUUCCCCAUCUCCAAUUCCUCAACCACCUCCAACUCCUGAACAACCAUCUCCAGCGCCUCAACCAUCUCCUGACCAGCCACCAUCGUCUCCUCCUCCGACUCCAAAUCCUUUAGUUCCUCCACCACC